AUUGAGCGCUGGCGGCAUGCUUUACACAUGCAAGUCGAACGGUAACAGGCCGCAAGGUGCUGACGAGUGGCGAACGGGUGAGUAAUGCAUCGGAACGUGCCCAGUCGUGGGGGAUAACGCAGCGAAAGCUGUGCUAAUACCGCAUACGAUCUAUGGAUGAAAGCGGGGGACCGUAAGGCCUCGCGCGAUUGGAGCGGCCGAUGUCAGAUUAGGUAGUUGGUGGGGUAAAGGCCUACCAAGCCGACGAUCUGUAGCUGGUCUGAGAGGACGACCAGCUACACUGGGACUGAGACACGGCCCAGACUCCUACGGGAGGCAGCAGUGGGGAAUUUUGGACAAUGGGCGCAAGCCUGAUCCAGCAAUGCCGCGUGCAGGAAGAAGGCCUUCGGGUUGUAAACUGCUUUUGUACGGAACGAAACGGUCUGGGUUAAUACCCUGGGCUAAUGACGGUACCGUAAGAAUAAGCACCGGCUAACUACGUGCCAGCCGCCGCCGUAA
Molecule: ribosomal RNA, 498 nt
Filed under: uncultured bacterium
Lineage: Bacteria
Description: partial 16S ribosomal RNA
Rfam family: Bacterial small subunit ribosomal RNA
Source: RNAcentral